This is a non-coding RNA of Pelobates cultripes (western spadefoot toad), 287 nucleotides long. The record is from the annotation of a GenBank genome assembly. Lineage: Eukaryota; Metazoa; Chordata; Amphibia; Anura; Pelobatidae.
AAAUGAUCAAACUGAAAAAAAAAUCUCUAACUCCAUUAUUUUUCCAGCUUGACGAUCUUGUUUUUAGAUUUGCAAUUCCCUUGUGAAUUUCGCACCGUUCCCUAUUUAUUUAAUCCCCAUACUUGCCACACCACAGAGGAAUAUUUCAAGUUUUCAUACUACAUCUUCACAUAUGUUUAAUAAUCUCUACUGUUCCAAAAUUUCUUAGGCAUUGUGUUUACAAUGCAAACUCCAUUUUGUUAACAAGAAACUCCAUAUCACGAAGAUGGGCCUGAUCCAGAUCAUGG